RNAcentral lists this ribosomal RNA (762 nucleotides) under uncultured Streptococcus sp. Its description in RNAcentral is "bacterial SSU rRNA". It matches the Rfam family "Bacterial small subunit ribosomal RNA", at positions 28 to 776 of the family's 1533-position model. The record is from RNAcentral. Lineage: Bacteria; Bacillati; Bacillota; Bacilli; Lactobacillales; Streptococcaceae.
GACGAACGCGGCGGCGUGCCUAAUACAUGCAAGUAGAACGCUGAAGGAGGAGCUUGCUUCUCUGGAUGAGUUGCGAACGGGUGAGUAACGCGUAGGUAACCUGCCUGGUAGCGGGGGAUAACUAUUGGAAACGAUAGCUAAUACCGCAUAAGAGUAGAUGUUGCAUGACAUUUGCUUAAAAGGUGCAAUUGCAUCACUACCAGAUGGACCUGCGUUGUAUUAGCUAGUUGGUGGGGUAACGGCUCACCAAGGCGACGAUACAUAGCCGACCUGAGAGGGUGAUCGGCCACACUGGGACUGAGACACGGCCCAGACUCCUACGGGAGGCAGCAGUAGGGAAUCUUCGGCAAUGGACGGAAGUCUGACCGAGCAACGCCGCGUGAGUGAAGAAGGUUUUCGGAUCGUAAAGCUCUGUUGUAAGAGAAGAACGAGUGUGAGAGUGGAAAGUUCACACUGUGACGGUAUCUUACCAGAAAGGGACGGCUAACUACGUGCCAGCAGCCGCGGUAAUACGUAGGUCCCGAGCGUUGUCCGGAUUUAUUGGGCGUAAAGCGAGCGCAGGCGGUUAGAUAAGUCUGAAGUUAAAGGCUGUGGCUUAACCAUAGUACGCUUUGGAAACUGUUUAACUUGAGUGCAAGAGGGGAGAGUGGAAUUCCAUGUGUAGCGGUGAAAUGCGUAGAUAUAUGGAGGAACACCGGUGGCGAAAGCGGCUCUCUGGCUUGUAACUGACGCUGAGGCUCGAAAGCGUGGGGAGCAAGCAGG